ACGAACGCUGGCGGCAUGCCUAACACAUGCAAGUCGAACGAGACCUUCGGGUCUAGUGGCGCACGGGUGCGUAACGCGUGGGAAUCUGCCCUUAGGUACGGAAUAACCCAGGGAAACUUGAGCUAAUACCGUAUAAUGACUUCGGUCCAAAGAUUUAUCGCCUAAGGAUGAGCCCGCGUCGGAUUAGCUAGUUGGUGAGGUAAAAGCUCACCAAGGCGACGAUCCGUAGCUGGUCNGAGAGGAUGAUCAGCCACACUGGGACUGAGACACGGCCCAGACUCCUACGGGAGGCAGCAGUGGGGAAUAUUGGACAAUGGGCGAAAGCCUGAUCCAGCAAUGCCGCGUGAGUGAUGAAGGCCUUAGGGUUGUAAAG
Molecule: ribosomal RNA, 373 nt
Filed under: uncultured bacterium
Lineage: Bacteria
Description: bacterial SSU rRNA
Rfam family: Bacterial small subunit ribosomal RNA
Source: RNAcentral